GCAUAAGAUUGUAGUAUCGCAUGAUAUAGCAUUAAAGGAGCAAUUCGCUAUAAGAUGGACCCGCGUCGCAUUAGCUAGUUGGUGAGGUAAUGGCUCACCAAGGCGACGAUGCGUAGCCGACCUGAGAGGGUGAUCGGCCACAUUGGGACUGAGACACGGCCCAGACUCCUACGGGAGGCAGCAUG
RNAcentral lists this ribosomal RNA (185 nucleotides) under uncultured bacterium. RNAcentral's name for it is "partial 16S ribosomal RNA". It matches the Rfam family "Bacterial small subunit ribosomal RNA", at positions 171 to 353 of the family's 1533-position model. The record is from RNAcentral.